GAGUUUGAUCAUGGCUCAGGACGAACGCUGGCGGCGUGCUUAACACAUGCAAGUCGAGCGAUGAAGCUUCCUUCGGGAAGUGGAUUAGCGGCGGACGGGUGAGUAACACGUGGGCAACCUGCCUCAAAGAGGGGAAUAGCCCUCCGAAAGGAGGAUUAAUACCGCAUAAAGUUAGAGUUUCGCAUGAAACUUUAACCAAAGGAGUAAUCCGCUUUGAGAUGGGCCCGCGUCCCAUUAGCUAGUUGGUAGGGUAAUGGCUUACCAAGGCAACGAUGGGUAGCCGACCCGAGAGGGUGAACGGCCACAUUGGAACUGAGAUACGGUCCAGACUCCUACGGGAGGCAGCAGUGGGGAAUAUUGCACAAUGGGGGAAACCCUGAUGCAGCAACGCCGCGUGAGUGAAGAAGGUUUUCGGAUCGUAAAGCUCUGUCAUCCGGGACGAUAAUGACGGUACCGGAAGAGGAAGCCACGGCUAACUACGUGCCAGCAGCCGCGGUAAUAC
RNAcentral lists this ribosomal RNA (502 nucleotides) under uncultured bacterium. RNAcentral's name for it is "bacterial SSU rRNA". It matches the Rfam family "Bacterial small subunit ribosomal RNA", at positions 9 to 526 of the family's 1533-position model. The record is from RNAcentral.